This 1451-nucleotide ribosomal RNA is filed under the name bioreactor metagenome. RNAcentral's name for it is "bacterial LSU rRNA". It matches the Rfam family "Bacterial large subunit ribosomal RNA", at positions 800 to 2236 of the family's 2925-position model. The record is from RNAcentral.
GUGGAUGAACUGUGGGUAGGGGUGAAAGGCCAAACAAACCCGGAGAUAGCUGGUUCUCUCCGAAACAUAUUUAGGUAUGGCCUCAGGUUGACAUUAACGGAGGUAGAGCACUGAAUGGGCUAGGGGACUUACAGGUUUACUGAACCCAAUCAAACUCCGAAUGCCGUUAAUCAAUACCUGGGAGACAGGGCGUGAGGGAUAAGCUUCACGUGCGAGAGGGGAACAACCCAGACUGUCAGCUAAGGUCCUCAAAUAGAUGCUUAGUGCGUAAGGAUGUUCAAUUGCCCAGACAGCCAGGAUCUUGGCUUAGAAGCAGCCAUGAUUUAAAGAGUGCGUAACAGCUCACUGGUCGAGUGGUAGAGCACCGAAGAUGAUCGGGACUUCAAGCAUCUUACCGAAGCUGCGGAGCAUCGCGCAAGCGUUGCUGGUAGGAGAGCGUUGUGAUUGCGCCGAAGGUGUCCUGUGAGGGAUGCUGGAGUGAUCGCAAGAGACCAUGUCGGCAUGAGUAACGACAAUGCGGGCGAGAAACCCGCACACCACAAGCCCGAGGUUUCCUGAGUAAAGUUAAUCUGCUCAGGGUUAGUCGGCCCCUAAGGUAUAGCCGUAUGGCGAAGCUGAUGGGAGCCAGGUUAAUAUUCCUGGACCUGUGUGUUGAGCGAUGGAGUGACGCGACGGUGCAGUGGAGACGGCUGUUGGAAUAGCCGUUGAGUGCAUGUAGGAGGUGGCACAGGCAAAUCCGUGCCACACAUACUCCGAGGUGCAGGACGAGGAGCAAUCCGCAAAGUCCAUGUAUAUACGUCGCCGAGAAAUAGCUUCUAAGCAUAUCAGCACACAGACCGUACCGCAAACCGACACAGGUGGGCGAGGAGAGUAUCCUAAGGUGUUCGAGCGAACUCUGGUUAAGGAACUAGGCAAAAUAACCCCGUAACUUCGGGAGAAGGGGUGCCCCGUUAUCGUGAUAGAGCGCAUCUGGAGCGAGAGGGGGCCGCAGCGAAUAGGCCCAAGCGACUGUUUAUCAAAAACACAGGUCUAUGCGAAGGCGCAAGCCACGGUAUAUAGUCUGACACCUGCCCGGUGCCGGAAGGUUAAAUGGAGAGGUCAUCCCUUUCGGGGGAGAAGCUUCGAAAUGAAGCCCCGGUAAACGGCGGCCGUAACUAUAACGGUCCUAAGGUAGCGAAAUUCCUUGUCGGGUAAGUUCCGACCUGCACGAAUGGUGUAACGAUUUGGGCGCUGUCUCAACCAGGGGCUCGGUGAAAUUGAAGUAGCGGUGAAGAUGCCGCUUACCCGCGAACGGACGGAAAGACCCCGUGAACCUUUACUGCAGCUUGGCAUUGUAAAUUGGUGCAGUAUGUGUAGGAUAGGUGGGAGGCUAUGAAGCGUGUACGCCAGUAUGCGUGGAGCCAUCGUUGAAAUACCACCCUUAUUGUAUUGGUUUACUAACGAUGCUAAAG